UUACCGGUUUGAACUGAGCAGAGUCCCUUCGGCGGAGGUGCUGCAUGGCUGUCGUCAGCUCGUGUCGUGAGAUGUUGGGUUAAGUCCCGCAACGAGCGCAACCCUGCCAUAGUUGCCAUCGUAUGGGACUCUAUGGGACUGCCGGUUUAACCGGAGGAAGGUGGGGAUGACGUCAAGUCCUCAUGGCCCUUAUGCCGGGCUACACACGUGCAACAAUGGGGUACAUGGGGCAUCGCGAGGGGAGCAAUCUCAAAACCAUCUCAGUUCGGAUUGUAGUCUGCAACUCGACUACAUGAAGUAGGAAUCGCUAGUAAUCGCGAUCAGCACGCGCGGUGAAUACGUUCCCGGGCCUUGUACACACCGCCCGUCACGCCAUGGGAGUCAGUGUCCGAA
This 393-nucleotide ribosomal RNA is filed under the name uncultured bacterium. RNAcentral's name for it is "bacterial SSU rRNA". It matches the Rfam family "Bacterial small subunit ribosomal RNA", at positions 971 to 1425 of the family's 1533-position model. The record is from RNAcentral.